RNAcentral lists this ribosomal RNA (481 nucleotides) under uncultured bacterium. Its description in RNAcentral is "bacterial SSU rRNA". It matches the Rfam family "Bacterial small subunit ribosomal RNA", at positions 1 to 525 of the family's 1533-position model. The record is from RNAcentral.
GGCCCGACAGAGUUUGAUCCUGGCUCAGAGCGAACGCUGGCGGCAGGCUUAACACAUGCAAGUCGAGCGGGCACCACAAGGUGUCAGCGGCAGACGGGAGAGUAACACGUGGGAACGUGCCCUUUGGUUCGGAACAACUCCGGGAAACUGGAGCUAAUACCGGAUAAGCCCUUACGGGGAAAGAUUUAUCGCCAAAGGAGCGGCCCGCGUCGGAUUAGCUAGUUGGUGAGGUAAUGGCUCACCAAGGCGACGAUCCGUAGCUGGUCUGAGAGGAUGACCAGCCUCACUGGGACUGAGACACGGCCCAGACUCCUACGGGAGGCAGCAGUGGGGAAUAUUGGACAAUGGGCGCAAGCCUGAUCCAGCCAUGCCGCGUGGAUGAUGAAGGCCUUAGGGUUGUAAAGUCCUUUUAACGGGGAAGAUAAUGACGGUACCCGUAGAAUAAGCCCCGGCUAACUUCGUGCCAGCAGCCGCGGUAAUA